CAUGCUCCACAGGAAAUAGAAUGAGUGGUGAACGGGUGAGUAACACGUGGGUAACCUGCCCAUCAGAAGGGGAUAACACUUGGAAACAGGUGCUAAUACCGUAUAACAAUCGAAACCGCAUGGUUUUGAUUUGAAAGGCGCUUUCGGGUGUCGCUGAUGGAUGGACCCGCGGUGCAUUAGCUAGUUGGUGAGGUAACGGCUCACCAAGGCUACGAUGCAUAGCCGACCUGAGAGGGUGAUCGGCCACAUUGGGACUGAGACACGGCCCAAACUCCUACGGGAGGCAGCAGUAGGGAAUCUUCGGCAAUGGACGAAAGUCUGACCGAGCAACGCCGCGUGAGUGAAGAAGGUUUUCGGAUCGUAAAACUCUGUUGUUAGAGAAGAACAAGGAUGAGAGUAACUGUUCAUCCCUUGACGGUAUCUAACCAGAAAGCCACGGCUAACUACGUGCCAGCAGCCCCGGUAAUACAUAGGUGGCAAGCGUUGUCCGGAUUUAUUGGGCGUAAAGCGAGCGCAGGCGGUUUCUUAAGUCUGAUGUGAAAGCCCCCCGCUCACCCGGGGAGGGUCAUUGGUAAACUGGGAGACUUGAGUGCAGAAAAGGAGAGUGGAAUUCCAUGUGUAGCGGCGAAAUGCGUAAAUAUUUGGAGGAACACAAUGGCGAAGGCGGGUCUCUGGUCUUUACUUGACGCUUAGCUCGAAAGCGUGGGGAGCAAACAGGAUUAUAUACCCUGGUAGUC
RNAcentral lists this ribosomal RNA (737 nucleotides) under bacterium B11. RNAcentral's name for it is "bacterial SSU rRNA". It matches the Rfam family "Bacterial small subunit ribosomal RNA", at positions 71 to 795 of the family's 1533-position model. The record is from RNAcentral.